Molecule: ribosomal RNA, 483 nt
Filed under: uncultured bacterium
Lineage: Bacteria
Description: partial 16S ribosomal RNA
Rfam family: Bacterial small subunit ribosomal RNA
Source: RNAcentral
GACGAACGCUGGCGGCGUGCCUAACACAUGCAAGUCGAACGAUGAAGCCGGAGCUUGCUCUGGUGAAUUAGUGGCGAACGGGUGAGUAACACGUGAGUAACCUGCCCUUGACUCUGGGAUAACUGCGGGAAACUGUAGCUAAUACCGGAUACGACCCUCGGAGGCAUCUCCUGGGGGUGGAAAGAAUUUCGGUCAAGGAUGGACUCGCGGCCUAUCAGCUAGUUGGUGAGGUAAAGGCUCACCAAGGCGACGACGGGUAGCCGGCCUGAGAGGGUGACCGGCCACACUGGGACUGAGACACGGCCCAGACUCCUACGGGAGGCAGCAGUGGGGAAUAUUGCACAAUGGGCGCAAGCCUGAUGCAGCAACGCCGCGUGAGGGAUGACGGCCUUCGGGUUGUAAACCUCUUUUAGCAGGGAAGAAGCGAAGUGACGGUACCUGCAGAAAAAGCACCGGCUAACUACGUGCCAGCAGCCGCGGUAA